Molecule: ribosomal RNA, 497 nt
Filed under: uncultured bacterium
Lineage: Bacteria
Description: partial 16S ribosomal RNA
Rfam family: Bacterial small subunit ribosomal RNA
Source: RNAcentral
GAUGAACGCUGGCGGCGUGCCUAAUACAUGCAAGUCGAGCGAACAGACGAGGAGCUUGCUCCUCUGACGUUAGCGGCGGACGGGUGAGUAACACGUGUAUAACCUACCUAUAAGACUGGGAUAACUUCGGGAAACCGGAGCUAAUACCGGAUAAUCUAUUGAACCGCAUGGUUCAAUAGUGAAAGACGGUUUUGCUGUCACUUCUAGAUGGAUCCGCGCCGCAUUAGCUAGUUGUUAAGGUAACGGCUUACCAAGGCAACGAUGCGUAGCCGACCUGAGAGAGGGAUAGGCCACACGGGAACUGGGACACGGUCAAGACUCCUACGGGAGGCAGCAGUAGGGAAUCUGCCGCAAUGGGCGAAAGCAUGACGGAGCAACGCCGCGUGAGUGAUGAAGGUCUUCGGAUCGUAAAACUCUGUUAUUAGGGAAGAACAAAUGUGUAAGGAACUAUGCACGUCGUGACGGUAACGAAUCAGAAAGCAACGGCUAACUACGUG